GGAAUCGCUAGUAAUCGUGGAUCAGAAUGCCACGGUGAAUACGUUCCCGGGCCUUGUACACACCGCCCGUCACACCAUGGGAGUGGGUUGCAAAAGAAGUAGGUAGCUUAACCUUCGGGAGGGCGCUUACCACUUUGUGAUUCAUGACUGGGGUGAAGUCGUAACAAGGUAACCGUAGGGGAACCUGCGGUUGGAUCACCUCCUUACCUUAAAGAAGC
RNAcentral lists this ribosomal RNA (218 nucleotides) under Escherichia coli. RNAcentral's name for it is "partial 16S ribosomal RNA". It matches the Rfam family "Bacterial small subunit ribosomal RNA", at positions 1328 to 1533 of the family's 1533-position model. The record is from RNAcentral. Lineage: Bacteria; Pseudomonadati; Pseudomonadota; Gammaproteobacteria; Enterobacterales; Enterobacteriaceae. RNAcentral also lists the same sequence under 2 other names.